RNAcentral lists this non-coding RNA (109 nucleotides) under Pediococcus argentinicus. RNAcentral's name for it is "TPP sequence". It matches the Rfam family "TPP riboswitch aptamer (THI element)". Rfam says of the family: Vitamin B(1) in its active form thiamin pyrophosphate (TPP) is an essential coenzyme that is synthesised by coupling of pyrimidine and thiazole moieties in bacteria. The previously detected thiamin-regulatory element, thi box was extended, resulting in a new, highly conserved RNA secondary structure, the THI element, which is widely distributed in eubacteria and also occurs in some archaea. The record is from Rfam by way of RNAcentral. Lineage: Bacteria; Bacillati; Bacillota; Bacilli; Lactobacillales; Lactobacillaceae.
AAAAACAUACAGGGGUGCUGGGCGUUCCCGGCUGAGAUUGAAGUAGCGACUUCUGACCCUCGAACCUGAAAUGGAUAAUGCCAGCGCAGGAAGUAGAAUAAAUGUCGAU